GCGGGAAUAGCUCAGUGGUAGAGCACUAGCUUCCCAAGCUGGGGGUCGCGGGUUCGAGACCCGUUUCCCGCU
RNAcentral lists this transfer RNA (72 nucleotides) under Clostridium pasteurianum BC1. It matches the Rfam family "tRNA". From Rfam's summary of the family: Transfer RNA (tRNA) molecules are approximately 80 nucleotides in length. Their secondary structure includes four short double-helical elements and three loops (D, anti-codon, and T loops). The record is from Rfam by way of RNAcentral. Lineage: Bacteria; Bacillati; Bacillota; Clostridia; Eubacteriales; Clostridiaceae.